RNAcentral lists this ribosomal RNA (497 nucleotides) under uncultured bacterium. Its description in RNAcentral is "partial 16S ribosomal RNA". It matches the Rfam family "Bacterial small subunit ribosomal RNA", at positions 28 to 507 of the family's 1533-position model. The record is from RNAcentral.
GAUGAACGCUGGCGGCGUGCCUAAUACAUGCAAGUCGAGCGAACGGACGAGAAGCUUGCUUCUCUGAUGUUAGCGGCGGACGGGUGAGUAACACGUGGAUAACCUACCUAUAAGACUGGGAUAACUUCGGGAAACCGGAGCUAAUACCGGCUAAUAUUUUGAACCGCAUGGUUCAAAAGUGAAAGACGGUCUUGCUGUCACUUAUAGAUGGAUCCGCGCUGCAUUAGCUAGUUGGUAAGGUAACGGCUUACCAAGGCAACGAUGCAUAGCCGACCUGAGAGGGUGAUCGGCCACACUGGAACUGAGACACGGUCCAGACUCCUACGGGAGGCAGCAGUAGGGAAUCUUCCGCAAUGGGCGAAAGCCUGACGGAGCAACGCCGCGUGAGUGAUGAAGGUCUUCGGAUCGUAAAACUCUGUUAUUAGGGAAGAACAUAUGUGUAAGUAACUGUGCACAUCUUGACGGUACCUAAUCAGAAAGCCCCGGCUAACUACGUG